AGCUCAAAGGUAAAGUUCAUGCAGCUAGUAUUUGGUAGAGCUGGGAACUGGGAUCCAGACCUAGGUAUGUCUCUAAAAUACCACCACUAAUGUUUUAGUGUUAAGUCAUAUUAUACCAGAAAGUAUUUUUUUAAAUAUAGAAUUAGUUUUCAUUUUACGAUCAGCAAAAAUAUUUUUUUAUACUGUUAACCAUUAGGAGGAUAUGUUUAAUAGCAGGCAAUCAUAAAGGUUUGAAGAUUUUUCUUGAGUCCAUUUGCUCUGGUCAUUUUACCUCAUUUCCAAUGGAAACUCUGGUAUGUAUUUUCUUUAUGAAAUAAUCCUUACUAAAUAUUUAUUCCAAAUAUGCCAUAAGAUAUACAACCAAGAGUUCCAUGGUUGGAUAAGAAUUUUGGUUAUUUUAAAGCUUCAUAGGUAACAAGGACUGUCAGGUUUAACUAUGAAACUAUCAACAGAUAGUCAACUUUCACUAAGACUCUGGUUAACUAUUCAGAAGUUACCUAAAUACAAGCCAAUUCUUCCUCAAAUGAGCAUUUCUC
Phyllostomus discolor (pale spear-nosed bat) is the source of this 536-nucleotide long non-coding RNA. RefSeq lists it as uncharacterized. The record is from RefSeq and is a predicted model, not a curated record. Lineage: Eukaryota; Metazoa; Chordata; Mammalia; Chiroptera; Phyllostomidae. The transcript is spliced from 2 exons.